UACGUAGGGUGCGAGCGUUAAUCGGAAUUACUGGGCGUAAAGCGUGCGCAGGCGGUUUUGUAAGACAGAUGUGAAAUCCCCGGGCUUAACCUGGGAACUGCAUUUGUGACUGCAAGACUAGAGUAUGGCAGAGGGGGGUGGAAUUCCACGUGUAGCAGUGAAAUGCGUAGAGAUGUGGAGGAACACCGAUGGCGAAGGCAGCCCCCUGGGCCAAUACUGACGCUCAUGCACGAAAGCGUGGGGAGCAAACAGG
This 253-nucleotide ribosomal RNA is filed under the name uncultured bacterium. RNAcentral describes it as "partial 16S ribosomal RNA". It matches the Rfam family "Bacterial small subunit ribosomal RNA", at positions 524 to 776 of the family's 1533-position model. The record is from RNAcentral.